This is a long non-coding RNA of Camarhynchus parvulus, 192 nucleotides long. RefSeq lists it as uncharacterized. Lineage: Eukaryota; Metazoa; Chordata; Aves; Passeriformes; Thraupidae. The record is from RefSeq and is a predicted model, not a curated record. The transcript has 3 exons.
CCCCCGAGAGGCUGAAGGAAGAGCUGGAGCUGGUGCAGAACGCCGUGUUCACCGACCCCACGGACCAAAGCGCCUGGGUGUACCUGCGCUGCAUCCUCUCCCGAGCUCCCCCACCUCCGAGGGUCAUCUGUGUCCACGUGGACCGCGAGGACGCGACGCUGGCCGUCAUCUUCUCCCGGCCUGUCAAGGUGA